Molecule: transfer RNA, 77 nt
Filed under: Proteus mirabilis
Lineage: Bacteria; Pseudomonadati; Pseudomonadota; Gammaproteobacteria; Enterobacterales; Morganellaceae
Also listed under: 34 other names
Description: tRNA-Ile
Rfam family: tRNA
About the family: Transfer RNA (tRNA) molecules are approximately 80 nucleotides in length. Their secondary structure includes four short double-helical elements and three loops (D, anti-codon, and T loops).
Source: RNAcentral
GCGCCAAUAGCUCAGUUGGUUAGAGCUACCGGCUCAUAACCGGUCGGUCCGGGGUUCGAGUCCCUGUUGGCGCACCA